AGACUAGGGGUGGAAACGAGCCGAGCUCGAGCGAGCUUAUGUCAGUUCAAAUUCGGCUUGAAAUUAAUUUCGAGCCUAAAUCUAGGCUCAAGCUUGGCUUGAAAUUAAUUCGAGCCGAGCUCGAGCGAGCCUAAUUUCUAGUCGAGCCGAGCUCGAGCUCUAAACGAGCCGAUUGAAAUUCUCGACAUUAUAUAAUCAAUAGUUUAAUUUUAUAGAACAUUACCUACAAUUUGAUAUAACACGUCCAAUAGUUCAAAAUACAAAAUAAUUAUAAGAAAUGUGAGCUAGGGUGACUUCUUGACUGGAUGAGGGUCUGAGAGAGAGAGAGAGGAAAAAAAAGUAGGGAUUUGAAAAUUUGAAUGUUAUCAUGUUUUAGGGUUAUGUGCAACAAUGAAAGUCUGAAAGAGAGAGUAUGUUAUGUAAAUUUAGAGUUN
RNAcentral lists this long non-coding RNA (434 nucleotides) under Ananas comosus (pineapple). RNAcentral's name for it is "long non-coding RNA (ACOM_LNC025348)". The record is from RNAcentral. Lineage: Eukaryota; Viridiplantae; Streptophyta; Magnoliopsida; Poales; Bromeliaceae.